GGCGGAAGCCUGAUCAGCACGCCGCGUGAGGGAUGACGGCCUUCGGGUUGUAAACCUCUUUCACUUCUGACGAAGCCCGCCCUUUGGGUGGGUGACGGUAGGUUGAGAAGAAGCACCGGCCAACUACGUGCCAGCAGCCGCGGUAAUACGUAGGGUGCGAGCGUUGUCCGGAAUUAUUGGGCGUAAAGGGCUCGUAGGCGGUUUGUCGCGUCGGGAGUGUAAUCCUCGUGCUUAACACGGGGCUUGCUUUCGAUACGGGCAGACUGGAGGCAUGCAGGGGAGAACGGAAUUCCUGGUGUAGCGGUGAAAUGCGCAGAUAUCAGGAGGAACACCGGUGGCGAAGGCGGUUCUCUGGGCAUGUCCUGACGCUGAGGAGCGAAAGUGUGGGGAGCGAACAGGAUUAGAUACCCUGGUAGUCCACGCCCUAAACGAUGUCAACUAGUUGUUCGGUGAGGAGACUCAUUGAGUAACGCAGCUAACGCGUGAAGUUGACCGCCUGGGGAGUACGGCCGCAAGGUUAAAACUCAAAGGAAUUGACGGGGACCCGCACAAGCGGUGGAUGAUGUGGAUUAAUUCGAUGCAACGCGAAAAACCUUACCUACCCUUGACAUGCCAGGAACUUGCCAGAGAUGGCUUGGUGCUCGAAAGAGAGCCUGGACACAGGUGCUGCAUGGCUGUCGUCAGCUCGUGUCGUGAGAUGUUGGGUUAAGUCCCGCAACGAGCGCAACCCUUGUCGUUAAUUGCCAUCAUUAAGUUGGGCACUUUAGCGAGACUGCCGGUGACAAACCGGAGGAAGGUGGGGAUGACGUCAAGUCCUCAUGGCCCUUAUGGGUAGGGCUUCACACGUCAUACAAUGGUC
RNAcentral lists this ribosomal RNA (859 nucleotides) under uncultured bacterium. RNAcentral's name for it is "bacterial SSU rRNA". It matches the Rfam family "Bacterial small subunit ribosomal RNA", at positions 374 to 1235 of the family's 1533-position model. The record is from RNAcentral.